UACGGAGGAUCCGAGCGUUAUCCGGAUUUAUUGGGUUUAAAGGGUGCGUAGGCGGCCAAUUAAGUCAGGGGUGAAAUACGGUGGCUCAACCAUCGCAGUGCCUUUGAUACUGAUUGGCUUGAAUCCAUUUGAAGUGGGCGGAAUAAGACAAGUAGCGGUGAAAUGCAUAGAUAUGUCUUAGAACUCCGAUUGCGAAGGCAGCUCACUAAGCUGGUAUUGACGCUGAUGCACGAAAGCGUGGGGAUCGAACAGG
Molecule: ribosomal RNA, 253 nt
Filed under: uncultured bacterium
Lineage: Bacteria
Description: partial 16S ribosomal RNA
Rfam family: Bacterial small subunit ribosomal RNA
Source: RNAcentral